Molecule: long non-coding RNA, 862 nt
Organism: Mytilus californianus (California mussel)
Lineage: Eukaryota; Metazoa; Mollusca; Bivalvia; Mytilida; Mytilidae
Exons: 4
Source: RefSeq, a predicted model, not a curated record
UGUGGUGCAGCACCGUCAGUACCGGAUUGACGUCAGGGUGAGAUGUAUAGAUCAUACAAUCAGCAACAUAACAUUGGUAUAGAUCAUAGAUGUAUCAACUUAACAAGGAUUGAACUAAAGUGCAGCAAUGUUAUUCUAACGUCAAACAAAACUGAAAUUUUACAUAGAAAGGUACAAAUGGCCGUUUACUAUACCUUUAAAAUUACUGUGUGGAUGCAAAAAUCAAUUAUUGAAGCUUUGUCAGUAUUUAGCUCAACUUUGCAUGGUCAAACUGAAUUGAUAAAACGCUGCAAAAGCUGUUUAAAAAUCCAUUAAAGUUUACUAUGUCAACGGAAGAUAAAAAUUUUCAAAAGAUGACAAUGAUUUGAUUGAUAUCAGGAACAAGAUAAAUUUAAGAACAAAACUUGAAAACAAACCGAAAGUUCUAAAACUCAUUAAAGGAUUAGACGUUCGCAUAUUUCGAUUGAAAUCACGAAUGAACAAGGGAUGCAUGAAUUAUACAAUCAACUAUUGUAUGGAUAAUAUUCGCAUGCUCUUUCAGUAGACAAGGAUUUCAAUGUUACGAAUUUUGCAACAAAAUAAAACAUAUGUGAUACACCAGGACAUUUCCUGAAUGUUUAUGAAAUUUAAACAUCGGUCAACUACUGCAGCUAUAAUUCAUCAUCAAAUGGUUAACAGUUUUACAGAUGGAUAUUACUUUUUCCCGAAGAUUACCAGCCGGGUAGCUUAACUGCAUGCGAAAUAUCAAAAGAUGAAUCUAUGCGCUGGAUGACACGUCGUCAUGGAUAAAAUGGUGUCAGUGGGGGUGUUGUCAAAAACACAACAACGCCGAAAGAAAUAGGUUUACUGUAGGUUCAUUUUA